Long non-coding RNA from Ananas comosus (pineapple), 1055 nucleotides. RefSeq lists it as uncharacterized. NCBI's taxonomy places the organism in Eukaryota, Viridiplantae, Streptophyta, Magnoliopsida, Poales, Bromeliaceae. The record is from RefSeq and is a predicted model, not a curated record. The transcript is spliced from 6 exons.
GUUUGGACUGUAGUUGUUGGCUGAGAAGACCUCUUUAAUUCCAUCCAUUAUCUUCUUCUUCCCUGCAUCCAUGCUCUUUUCCUUUUCCUUUCCAAUUCCCCACUGUCCCCUCUCCCUGCGCAGCCUAGCAACAACACCUACCUUGUGGACUAUAGCACCUUGAUGAAGGAAGCAGCCUACAACAGUAGCCUGCAGCAUUCAGCUCCAGUGUAGCUAGGAAAAGUGCUCUAGCUUCAAGAUUAAUGCUGUAAGGAAGUGAGGAAGAGUGCGGGAGCUCACCUUAUACAUAGAACCAGCUGAAAUUGCAGUAAAAUUAGAGGCUUGGAGUCGAUCAAUUUUGAAAUUGAUGAUUCAUGACUAGAGUUGGGGAAGUUAGGAUGCUGCCCAUAUCUUCCUUGAGCUGGAAUUGAAGGAGCUAAGCUUUGAAAAAGUUGGAAGUGAUCUUGACUUCGUCCUCUGCUGUGUAGAAUCUUGUUUCGAUCAAUUCGGAGGUUUUUCUUGUGGUGAAAGGCCAAGAUCACUUGUGAACAAGUUCCAAUUCCUAAUUUUGCUGUUGGUUGGUUGUGGGAGCAAGAAUGAAGUGCAACUCAGUGCUGACAGCUUAGAAGCCAGCAGCAGCUUUGAGAUAACUGCAGCAACCUUUGAGCAGGGACAACAGCAACUAUUUUUGGAAAUUAGUUUUGAUUUGGACCUUUUUGCUACAAUUAGAUGCUUCCAGGGUGUUCUUGAGGUAGAGAGGAAGCUGUGAAUCGAGUUGCAACUAUCGGUUUGAGGGAUUUGUUGGAGUUUCUUAUACUUGUUGGUGAUUCGGGACUAAAGGCACGUGACCGCUGGGUUUCGCUUUAAUCUGUGAUCGGAUUUGCAUACUAGAGCCGUUCGUUGCUGCUGCUGCUGUGGAUUCUGACCGAGGCAAGGGAGUCGCGAGCUAGAGUCUUCCCUUCCCUGGUCUUUUGCUAGAGAAGUACCCUUGCAGAGGUAGAUAGAUCUUGCCAUGUACAUACUGUUAUGGUUAGUUGUACUCAGAGCGAGAUUGUGCUGUUGGUUUUUGUAUGUAC